UGGCAAGUGAUGAGGUCACAGAUGUAGGAGGCAGCUUCCUGAGGGCAACUAAACAUCUGAGCUGAAGCCAAAUGAUGAGAGGGGGCCAUCCAAUUGCAGACCUCAGAAAGGAGCAGCUCGGGGAGAGGGAAGAGCUGUGCUCUCACAUACAGCAUGUCAUCUGACCUUCACUGCAUUCUUGAAGAUAGAUCAAUGCAUCCCCAUUUUAUUCCGAAGACCACUAAAUUUCCAGGAGGCAGAAGUCGGAGUGGGAAGUGGACAGAGAUCUAAAACACUUGAGAUAACUUGAGUACCUGUGCUCAUCUGGCUGGGUGCCACAGGAUUUCAUCCAGAGACUUUGUAAAACAGUGAUCAUGAAGCCCAUUUUCCAAGUAUUUAUUAAUUGUCCAAGAUUUCAAGGAGUAGAGUCAAGAC
This 414-nucleotide long non-coding RNA is filed under the name Homo sapiens (human). RNAcentral's name for it is "non-protein coding lnc-ATG2B-24:1". Lineage: Eukaryota; Metazoa; Chordata; Mammalia; Primates; Hominidae. The record is from RNAcentral.